GUUUGAUCCUGGCUCAGAUUGAACGCUGGCGGAAUGCUUUACACAUGCAAGUCGAGCGGCAGCGCGGGGCAACCUGGCGGCGAGCGGCGAACGGGUGAGUAAUACAUCGGAACGUGCCCAGACGUGGGGGAUAACUACUCGAAAGAGUGGCUAAUACCGCAUACGAUCUGAGGAUGAAAGCGGGGGAUCGCAAGACCUCGCGCGUCUGGAGCGGCCGAUGGCAGAUUAGGUAGUUGGUGAGGUAAAAGGCUUACCAAGCCUGCGAUCUGUAGCUGGUCUGAGAGGAUGAUCAGCCACACUGGGACUGAGACACGGCCCAGACUCCACGGAGGCAGCAGUGGGGAAUUUUGGACAAAUGGGCGAAAGACCUGAUCCAGCCAUUCCGCCGUGCAGGAUGAAGGCC
RNAcentral lists this ribosomal RNA (403 nucleotides) under uncultured bacterium. RNAcentral describes it as "bacterial SSU rRNA". It matches the Rfam family "Bacterial small subunit ribosomal RNA", at positions 11 to 416 of the family's 1533-position model. The record is from RNAcentral.